GCGUCGUUAGCCCAGUGGUUAGGGUAUCGCCUUCCCACACUGAAUGGGCGAUAGGCGGGGGUCGUGGGUUCGAGUACGUAUCCUGGAGUG
Molecule: non-coding RNA, 90 nt
Organism: Lentithecium fluviatile CBS 122367
Lineage: Eukaryota; Fungi; Ascomycota; Dothideomycetes; Pleosporales; Lentitheciaceae
Source: the annotation of a GenBank genome assembly